GUCUACAGCCAUACCACCCUGAAUAUACCUAAUCUCAUCUGAUCUCAGAAGCUAAGCAGGGUCGGGCCUGAUUAAUACUUGGAUGGGAGAAAGAAGCUAAGAAGCACAUGAGUAUGAGUUC
This is a non-coding RNA of Mesocricetus auratus (golden hamster), 121 nucleotides long. The record is from Rfam. NCBI's taxonomy places the organism in Eukaryota, Metazoa, Chordata, Mammalia, Rodentia, Cricetidae.